Molecule: ribosomal RNA, 253 nt
Filed under: uncultured bacterium
Lineage: Bacteria
Description: partial 16S ribosomal RNA
Rfam family: Bacterial small subunit ribosomal RNA
Source: RNAcentral
UACGGAGGGUGCAAGCGUUGCUCGGAAUCACUGGGCGUAAAGAGCGUGUAGGCGGUUUCGUAUGUCUGACGUGAAAGCCCCGGGCUCACCCCGGGAAGUGCGUUGGAAACUGCGAGACUAGAGUCCCGGAGAGGAAGGUGGAAUUCCAGGUGUAGCGGUGAAAUGCGUAGAUAUCUGGAAGAACACCAGUGGCGAAGGCGGCCUUCUGGACGGUGACUGACGCUGAGACGCGAAAGCGUGGGGAGCAAACAGG